GCUGAGGCAACAGACUGUCAUGCCAACUCCCCAUAAAGUGUACUGGCUGCUGCCACAGUCAUUUCUGCAUUGGCAAGCUUUUUCAUUUCCAAAAGGAGACGGUAUAUUGGUGCAGCAAGAGAGCAUAAGUGAUCUCAGAACAAGGUCCAGAGGUUCCAUGUUGAAGCAACUGCCCUUCUGUCCCACAUGAUAGUGCACUGUUUCACAAAAAGGCUCCAGGGAGAACUGCUGCAGUGGAAAAACUGGAUAGCCACAACAGAAAAGUUGAGGAGCAUUUCAUUAAUGAGAGUGUGCAGCAAAGCAGUCAUGUCUCAUGUAAAAUGUUGAUCUAGAGCUACAAUUGUCCCUUGAUGUUAUGG
Mauremys mutica (yellowpond turtle) is the source of this 359-nucleotide long non-coding RNA. RefSeq lists it as uncharacterized. NCBI's taxonomy places the organism in Eukaryota, Metazoa, Chordata, Testudines, Geoemydidae. The transcript has 3 exons. The record is from RefSeq and is a predicted model, not a curated record.